AUGCCUCACACUGGAGCCAGAACUCUUAAAGUGCCAGUGGGCUUCCAGAAGCAGAGAAGGUCUCACCAUCAGUACACGGUGGGAUGUCUCUGCCCUGCCCCUGUUAACACUGGGACCGCGGCCAAAUUUUUCAGCCCGCCUCCCCUCUCCCUGAGGCGCCCACGUCCCCCUCACCUGUCCACUGUCCUGCCCAGAGGCCAGGGAAGGGCGUGUGCUGGUACAGGCCGCUUCCACUCCCAUGGGAGGACCUGCUGCAGGAAGGGCAGGCGGCCCCAGACCCCUCAGCCCGGGCACCUGCUUCCCAAUCCGACUGGACGGAUGCCUCAGACUUUGGCAAGAAAGCACGCUCUGGUUCUUGGUAUUCUGAAUACGCUUUGCAAAACAUCCCGGCAGCUGCCUCGAGCCAUUCACUACUGGCUGCCUUCUGAGCAGCCCCACGCAGAAGGGAUGCACAGGGUUUGUGGCUUCACACUUCUCGGAGGUAUCAACCUGCUCAGAGGGGAACCGAGGGCGGCGAUCACGGGGAGAGGGUCUCCGCGUCAGACCCCUGCUUCCUGUUGCAGGGCCCUCACCUCCCUGCCCUGGCUGCACCCUGACAGUUUCCUUUCCCACGACAGGCAGGGGAGGACCCAGCCUUCCCCUCUGACCCUGGCAGCAUUCUCAAGUUUGGCACCGCUGUGGAAGCCCACACCCUGCUUUUCUGAGCUGGAGGUGUUCCUGGGAAACAGGAAGACAGCACUGGGCCGGCUUCUCCACCAAUACCUAGGUGGUCAUGUGGCCCCCUUCCCCGCACCCCCAGGCUCUCUGGGGGCGUUCCAUGCCCAACUGGACCGGCCAGGAAGUGCCCUCUUCCCGUGCCUGGCCCUGGGCUCUCCCACAGCCUGUUUGCUCCCAUCGCCAGGACGCAAAACAGCCCGCAGGUCGCCCUCCCGUGGGGAGCAGAAGGCCAGGAGGGGUCCCCGAGCCCCUUCCCUCCCCCGGCUCCCCUCUGCGGGCCCAGGCCGGGAAGUCUCGACUCUGGCGCGGAGCACAGAGCGCGGCACUGCACCAAACACUCCUCGGCACACCGGUCCCCGACACCCCACCUCCCGCCCCAGCGCGCCCUCCGUGUCCGCGCGGACUCCGCGCCCGAGCGCGCCUGCCGCCGCCAGGGCGUCCUCGGGGCUUGCGCGGCUGGACUCGGCGCUGCGGCGCGGCCAAGGCUUCCCGACCCAGGCCCUGCGCCCCGCUCGGUUCGGGGUACCGGCGUCGUCCCACCCAGCCCGCCGGUCUCCUCUCGGUCCCCGCCCUGGGUCCCCGCGCCCCUCGGCCUCCCCGCCGCACCCCUACCUCGCAGCCCCGAUCCUCCUCGCCGCGCGGCCGGGUCCUCCCCCGCACCCUCCGUCCUGCGGGCCGCGCACUCCGGUUGCUCCCAACCGUGCGCCCCCCGUCCUCCCCGCUGCGCCCCUAUCUCGCAGUCUGCGCCCUCGGGAGCCGGCAGAGGCGGUGCCAGGCGGGGGGCAGCGUGGGCACGUGGCGUGGGCCACGGAAAUCGGGGAGGUCUCCGCGUGA
Molecule: long non-coding RNA, 1551 nt
Organism: Delphinapterus leucas (beluga whale)
Lineage: Eukaryota; Metazoa; Chordata; Mammalia; Artiodactyla; Monodontidae
Source: Ensembl